AUGUGUCGUGUGUUCUUUUUUUUAAAUUGUUUUUACAUUUUUUUUCCUUUCUAAAACAUUAUGGGAUUACCUUUUUUUUAUAUCAUUUUCUAUUAAACUUUUUAAAAAUGGUUUUAAUUUAUGUUUAAUUUGAUUAAGGAAAUGUUAGUUUUGAGAUUAUGAAAAAUAUUAUACGUACUAUGGUUUUAUACCAUAUGGACAACUAUGUUGUUUUUUUUUUCCGUUUUGGCAAUUUUCUCUUUUAAAUUUGCUAGAAUAAACAAAGCCAAUGUAUGGUCAAGUUUCCAAGUUUUAUUUUUGUCAAGUUUCCAUGUUGGUCAUUAAACUUCAAGUCAACAUAGCA
Molecule: long non-coding RNA, 343 nt
Filed under: Brassica napus (rape)
Lineage: Eukaryota; Viridiplantae; Streptophyta; Magnoliopsida; Brassicales; Brassicaceae
Description: long non-coding RNA (BNAP_LNC014783)
Source: RNAcentral